This 406-nucleotide ribosomal RNA is filed under the name uncultured bacterium. RNAcentral's name for it is "partial 16S ribosomal RNA". It matches the Rfam family "Bacterial small subunit ribosomal RNA", at positions 30 to 526 of the family's 1533-position model. The record is from RNAcentral.
AUUGAACGCUGGCGGCAGGCCUAACACAUGCAAGUCGAACGAGUGGCGGACGGGUGAGUAAUGUCUGGGAAACUGCCCGAUGGAGGGGGAUAACUACUGGCAACUGUAGCUAAUACCGCAUACCAUCGGAUGUGCCCAGAUGGGAUUAGCUAGUAGGUGGGGUAACGGCUCACCUAGGCGACGAUCCCUAGCUGGUCUUAGAGGAUGACCAGCCACACUGGAACUGAGACACGGUCCAGAAUCCGACGGGAGGCAGCAGUGGGGAAUAGUGCACAAUGGGCGCAAGCCGGAUGCAGCCAUGCCGCGUGUAUGAAGAAGGCCUUCGGGUUGUAAAGUACUUUCAGCGAGGCGGCGGUACUCGCAGAAGAAGCACCGGCGAACUCCGUGCCAGCCGCCGCGGUAAUUC